This 502-nucleotide unclassified non-coding RNA is filed under the name Tetratheca hispidissima. RNAcentral describes it as "partial contains external transcribed spacer and 18S ribosomal RNA". The stretch from base 423 to 502 matches the Rfam family "Eukaryotic small subunit ribosomal RNA", at positions 1 to 80 of the family's 1831-position model. Lineage: Eukaryota; Viridiplantae; Streptophyta; Magnoliopsida; Oxalidales; Elaeocarpaceae. The record is from RNAcentral.
AACUGUAUCUCGCUCCCGGUGAGACCUCUCAGUCUCCUCCCACAAGGGUGGGCGUCUGUCGUCCGAUCCCUCGUGGGUUUUUCCUGGUUCCUGUGCUGCGUGCCCGUGGAAUGGUAGUUCGGAGUCCCGUUGUCCCUAUCCGCCGGAUGCCUCCCCAGGGCUCCCGGCGGAACUCUUGGCGUGGCCCCGUGUUCCCGGCACUCUCUGCACCUUGUGGUGCUGCCGUGGUCACAUGGUGCUCUCGCCUGUCCCAUCGGAUGUGGAAGAAUCGCGUGGGCUCGGGGUUUCGGUCCCUAAUCUGUCCGUACAAAGCGCUUUGUCGCUCGACAUGCCUGACGUCCUCGCGGUGCCGCGCCCUCCCUCGUCCCCAUGUGGGCUCGUCGGGAGACGGCUCGUGCGUCGCGGGUGUCGUAGAGGAAUGCUACCUGGUUGAUCCUGCCAGUAGUCAUAUGCUUGUCUCAAAGAUUAAGCCAUGCAUGUGUAAGUAUGAACCAAUUCGGAC